GACGAACGCUGGCGGCGCGCUUAACACAUGCAAGUCGAGCGAUGAAAUCUUAACAGCACCCUUCGGGGUGAAGAUAAGACGGAUUAGCGGCGGACGGGUGAGUAACACGUGAGUAACCUGCCUUUUACACAGGGAUAGCCUCAGGAAACCGGGAUUAAAACCUGAUGAAACUAUCAAAUCACAUAAUUAAGAAAGUUAAAACUCCGGUGGUAAAAGAUGGACUCGCGUCCCAUUAGCUAGUUGGUGAAGGUAACGGCCCACCAAGGCAACGAUGGGUAGCCGGCCUGAGAGGGUGAACGGCCACAUUGGAACUGAGAAACGGUCCAAACUCCUACGGGAGGCAGCAGUGGGGAAUAUUGCACAAUGGGGGAAACCCUGAUGCAGCGACGCCGCGUGAGCGAAGAAGGCCUUCGGGUCGUAAAGCUCUUUUAUAUGGGAAGAUAAUGACGGUACCAUAAGAAAAAGCCCCGGCUAACUACGUG
RNAcentral lists this ribosomal RNA (482 nucleotides) under uncultured bacterium. RNAcentral describes it as "partial 16S ribosomal RNA". It matches the Rfam family "Bacterial small subunit ribosomal RNA", at positions 28 to 507 of the family's 1533-position model. The record is from RNAcentral.